This 70-nucleotide transfer RNA is filed under the name Drepane punctata (spotted sicklefish). Its description in RNAcentral is "tRNA-Pro". It matches the Rfam family "tRNA". Rfam says of the family: Transfer RNA (tRNA) molecules are approximately 80 nucleotides in length. RNAcentral also lists the same sequence under 1 other name. The record is from RNAcentral. Lineage: Eukaryota; Metazoa; Chordata; Actinopteri; Ephippiformes; Drepaneidae.
CAAAGAGUAGUUUAAUGAAGAAUACUAGCUUUGGGAGUUAGUGGUAAGGGUUAGAUUCCUUUUUCUUUGA